AUUGAACGCUGGCGGCAUGCCUUGCACAUGCAAGUCGAACGGCAGCACGGGAGCAAUCCUGGUGGCGAGUGGCGAACGGGUGAGUAAAGUAUCGGAACGUGCCCAGUCGUGGGGGAUAACGUAGCGAAAGUUACGCUAAUACCGCAUACGAUCUACGGAUGAAAGCGGGGGAUCGCAAGACCUCGCGCGCUUGGAGCGGCUGAUAUCAGAUUAGGUAGUUGGUGGGGUAAAGGCUCGCCAAGCCGACGAUCUGUAGCUGGUCUGAGAGGACGACCAGCCACACUGGGACUGAGACACGGCCCAGACUCCUACGGGAGGCAGCAGUGGGGAAUUUUGGACAAUGGGCGCAAGCCUGAUCCAGCCAUGCCGCGUGCAGGAUGAAGGCCUUCGGGUUGUAAACUGCUUUUGUACGGAACGAAAAGGUUUGGCCUAAUAAGCUGGACCCAUGACGGUACCGUAAGAAUAAGCACCGGCUAACUACGUGCCAGCCGCCGCGGUAA
This 500-nucleotide ribosomal RNA is filed under the name uncultured bacterium. RNAcentral's name for it is "partial 16S ribosomal RNA". It matches the Rfam family "Bacterial small subunit ribosomal RNA", at positions 30 to 523 of the family's 1533-position model. The record is from RNAcentral.